AUGGCUCCCUCCGCCGACGCCGCCGCGCCCGCCCCGACCCCUCCGCUGGCGCCCCUCAUCGCCGCGCAGCUCAAGUUCCUCCUCACCAACUCCAGUCUUCCCAUCAAGGUGGUGCAGAUCUGGUCCGGAUGCAGCAAGGGCCGCUACGCUGAUCGCUUCACCCUCGGCAUCCCCUUCUGCCUCGACUACGUCUACUGGGAUUUCUUGUAUAAUGCGAUGCACCCCAAGGUGGCGCCGGACGUCAUAUUCGGGCAGCGCGAUGAGGGAUUCCAGCCACUGGUCGAUUAUGAUGAGUCCGGGAAUGGGGGAAAGAGCUGCUUGGCACACUGGGAUUACCGUGACCCCCGUGGCCUCCUCUGCCUCGUGGAGGAGCUCCGGUUAUUAUACAUUGAGUACCAAAAGAAGCUGGUAGAGAAAGUGGAUGAUGCAAGACUGAAGUUUGAAAUAAGCACAGUUCUUGCUAAGGAGGGGAUUGAAGUCUCCUUGGUAUCAUCAACUGGUAGGUCAGAUGAGGUGAAAUUUGCUGUCCCGCUUCUGGAUUUAGACCUCAAAAUGAUGGUGCCUGGAUGUCCUUGGAAACUUCCCCAAAAGAUCCAUCUGCAGGCCAUAUUUCCGGUUAGCAGUAGUUACCUCUCUGUUCCUUCUGCACCAGGACUGAAACUAACCUCAACUCCUGAUUUGAAGUCAUUUUUCUCUGUGGAUGGUGUUAAGCUCCCUGCAUGGGUAGAUGGGAUGUGCAUGGCUGAGUAUGUUCCCACUUUAGAAGAAGACCUUAAAUUGCAGGUCGUGGAUGCAUCAGCUUCAAUCGGUUGCAGGAGACGAUUCAUUGAGGCCCUAGCUCCUGCUUUCGGGAGACCAUUGGAGGCUGAUCCGAUUUUUUGCAGGAAAGCCACAGUUCUUUCCAUUUCGGGGAUUUUCACAUUUCUGGUUCACUUUGUCAUCCCCCUUCAAUUCCCCCAACAACAGCCUAUCCUGACUUUGCAGAGUUGUCAGCACUGUAAUUCCCAAGGUAUACCUAUCACGUCAUCUCCAAACAACAGCUAUCCAUGGAGUCCUAGAUGGGAAGUAACGGAAAUGGUGGAUCGCAUCUACGACUAUCUGGCUGACGAGUGCCAGAAUUUCAAGAAGUUAUGCAGUGAUGGUUUCCCCCAAGCAAAGUAG
Molecule: ribosomal RNA, 1161 nt
Filed under: Triticum aestivum (bread wheat)
Lineage: Eukaryota; Viridiplantae; Streptophyta; Magnoliopsida; Poales; Poaceae
Description: partial small subunit ribosomal RNA
Source: RNAcentral